ACUCCUACGGGUGGCUGCAGUGGGGAAUAUUGGACAAUGGGGGCAACCCUGAUCCAGCAAUGCCGCGUGUGUGAAGAAGGCCUUAGGGUUGUAAAGCACUUUCGUUAGUGAAGAAAGGUUUAUGGCUAAUACCUAUGAAUUUGACAUUAGCUAAAGAAGAAGCACCGGCUAACUCCGUGCCAGCAGCCGCGGUAAUACGGAGGGUGCAAGCGUUAUUCGGAAUGACUGGGCGUAAAGCGCACGCAGGCGGUUAUUUAAGUCAGAUGUGAAAGCCCCGGGCUUAACCUGGGAAUUGCAUUUGAAACUGGGUAACUAGAGUAUGUCAGAGGAAGGCGGAAUUUCCAGUGUAGCAGUGAAAUGCGUAGAGAUUGGAAGGAACACCGAUGGCGAAGGCAGCCUUCUGGGGCAAUACUGACGCUCAUGUGCGAAAGCGUGGGUAGCAAACAGGACUAGAUACCCUGGUAGUCCACGCCCUAAACGAUGUCAACUAGGUGUUGGGCACUUAAGUGCUCGGUACCGCAGCUAACGCAUUAAGUUGACCGCCUGGGGAGUACGGCCGCAAGGUUGAAACUCAAAGAAAUUGACGGGGACCCGCACAAGCGGUGGAGCAUGUGGUUUAAUUCGAUGCAACGCGAAGAACCUUACCAGGCCUUGACAUCCAGAGAACUAAGCAGAGAUGCUAUGGUGCCUUCGGGAACUCUGAGACAGGUGAUGCAUGGUUGUCGUCAGCUCGUG
This 735-nucleotide ribosomal RNA is filed under the name uncultured bacterium. Its description in RNAcentral is "bacterial SSU rRNA". It matches the Rfam family "Bacterial small subunit ribosomal RNA", at positions 335 to 1064 of the family's 1533-position model. The record is from RNAcentral.